GAGAGAGACAGAGGUGAGUCUUGGUAGGGAAGCCGGGGCAACAUCAGCCUCCUCUAAAGUCAACCUCGGUGAAGUCAUGCUUGGGAAAAGUCCCAUCUUCUACGUUUUCAUCUUCUGCACAGGGGUCUCUUUGGAUGUAAUUUUGGAACAAGUAGACCAAAUAACUGUCUCAGAUGGGAACUCUGCCAAAUUCUACUGCACUGUAACAGGAGGGGACUUGAAGAACUAUCAAAUGAGCUGGUAUAAGAAGAGUGAAGACAAUGCUCUGAUUUUAGUAUACAACCUAAAUAAUAGUUCUCCUGACGAUCCAAUGGGUAAUUUCAAAGGGGAAAUUGACGCUUCAAAAAGUCAGUUUAUACUUGGCAUUGAAAAGGCAACUAUGAAAGACAUCGGUACUUACUACUGUGGGUCAGAUAUCACAGUGCUGCAGUUGCUGCUCCUGACCGCUUCAAGAAAGUCUAGGGUCAAACCAAGGCAGCAGACCCAAUAACAGACCAUCUCAGGCUGAACUCCGCACCACAUCUGAGAUGGGACCUCCUGAUUACAUCAACAGUCACCUCUGAUAAGAGAGACUGGAGCUGAGUUGGGGCAAGGCCUGAUCCUUGAGGUUUCUAUGCCAGUUGACGAGAGAAGAAAGGGUUGCUAAGAGUUUGUGUGGAGAGACCAGCAGGCCCUCAACCUUUGCUGCCUACAGGACCCUCGUAUUGAAAUGUCAAGGUGACAAGCAGAAUGUCUUCCAUCAUGAGUGCUGUAGCUCAUCGGAAGCUUUCCGGUGCAGAAACCAGAUAAAGCAAAGAUUGUUUUCCA
Molecule: non-coding RNA, 807 nt
Organism: Mesocricetus auratus (golden hamster)
Lineage: Eukaryota; Metazoa; Chordata; Mammalia; Rodentia; Cricetidae
Source: the annotation of a RefSeq genome assembly